This 3779-nucleotide long non-coding RNA is filed under the name Sus scrofa (pig). Its description in RNAcentral is "lncRNA (ENSSSCG00030013825.1)". The record is from RNAcentral. Lineage: Eukaryota; Metazoa; Chordata; Mammalia; Artiodactyla; Suidae.
GCAAUCUAAAUGUCCAUCUACAGAUGAAUGAAUACAGAAAAUAUAGUACGUAUACCAAAUAGAAUACUGCUCAGCCAUAAAAAAGAAUGAAAUAAUGCCAUCUGCAGCAUCAUGGAUGCAACUAGAGAUUCUCAUACUAAGUGAAGUAAGUCAAAAAGAGAAAGACAAAUACCAUAUGAUAUCACUUAUAUGUGGGACCUAAAGUAUGACGCAAAUGAACCUAUUUACAAAACAGAAACAGACCCAUGGACAAGAACAGACUCCUGGUUGUCAAGGGGGCGGGGUUUGGGAAUGGGAGGUGGGGCUUAGCAGUGUAAGCAGAUGUAUUAUAUAUGGAGGGGAUAGACGAGGUGCUACUGUAUAGUACAGAGAGCUAUAUCCAAAGUCCUGUGGUAAACUGUAAUGGAAAAGAAUAUUUAAAAAGAAUGUAUAUAUGUAAAUGGAAUCACUUUGCUGUACAGCGGAAAUUAACCCAACAUCGUAAAUCAACUAUUCUUCAAUUUUUUAAAAUACAUUUUGUAAAGCUAUAGCUGCCAUAGGUAGUGAUUCCUCUGAUGAAUCUGGGAAAAAUUGCAAACCUUCUGGAAAGGAUUUACCAUUCUAGAUGCCAUGAAGAACAUUCGUGGUUCAUGGGAGGAGGUCAACACAUCAACAUCUACAGCAGUUGGAGAGAAGUUUAUCCCACCCUCAUGGAUGACCCUUUGAGGGGCUCAAACCUUCAGUGGAGAAAGGAACUUCAGAUGUGGUGGAAGAAGCAAAAGAGCUAGAAUUUGAAGCCCAAAGAUGUGACUGAAUAGCUGCCAUCUGAUGAUAAAACUUGAACAAAUGAAGGAGUUCCCAUCAUGGCUCAGCAGAAAUGAAUCUUAUUAGGAUCCCUGAGGACGAAGGUUUGAUCCCUGACCUCGUUCAGUGGGUUAAGGAUCCGGUGUUGCCAUGAGCUGUGGUGUAGGUCAAAGACGAGGCUCAGAUCCUGCAUUGCUGUGGCUGUGGUGAAGGCCGGCAGCUAUAGCUUUGAUUCAACCCCUAGCCUGGGAACCUCCAAACUUGAACAAAUGAGGAGCUGCUGCUUAUGCAUCUUAUGAGGAACAAAGAAGUGUUUUCUUGAGAAGGAAAGUGCUUCUGGUGAAGAUGCUGUGAAGAUUGUUGAAGUAACAAUAAAGGAUUUAUAUUAUUACCUAAACUUCAUGGAUAAAGCAGUGGCAGGGUGUGAGAGGACUGACUCCAAUUUUAAAACAAGUCCUGCUGCGUGCUACAGAGAAGUCGUUUAUGAAAGGGUCAAUCUGUGUGGCAGACUUUGCUGUUUUAUUUUAAGAAAUUGUCACAGGCACUGCACCUUUGGGUGACCACCACUUUAAUCAGUCAGCAGCCACCAGCAUGGAGGCAACACCUUCCAUCAGCAACAAAAUAACUCACUGAAGGCCAGAUGAUGCUUAGCAUUUUUUAGCAAUAAAGUGGGUUUGUUUUGUUUGUUUGUUUUGGCUGUGUCCAGGGCGUGUAGAAGUUCCCGGUCUAGGGAUUAAACCCACACCACAGCAGCAACAGAAGCUGCUGCAGUGACAACGCCAGAUCCUUAACCAUCUGUGCGACAAGAGAACUCCAGCAAUAAAGGUUUUUUUUUUUUUUCUUUUCCUUUUUUCAGUGGCUGGGCCUAGGCAUAUAGAGGUUCCCAGCCUAUGGGGCGAAUCAGAGCUAUAGCUGCCAGCCUGUACCUCAGCCACAGCAAUGCAGGAUCCAAGCUGCAUCUGUGACCUACACCACAGCUUGCCACAAUGCUGGAUCCUUAACCCACUGAGACAGGCCAGGGAUCAAACCCAAAUCUUCACAGAGACUACGUUGGUUUCUUAACCGAGCCACUCAUUUAUUUGUUUGUUUGGCCACACCCAAGGCACAUGGAGGCUCCCAGACUAGGAGUCUAAUUGGAGCUGUAGCCACUGGCCUAUGCCGCAGCCACAGCAACGUCAGAUCCCAGCCACGUCUGCAACCUACACCACAGUUUAUGGCAACGCUAGAUCCUUAACCCACUGGGCGAGGCCAGGGAUUGAACCCACAACCUCAUGGUUCCUAGUUGGAUUUGUUAACCACUGAGCCAUGAUGGGAACUCCUCACCGUUUCUUCUUAAGGAUUCUCUAGCCUCAUGUUAUUGAACUGUUUGUUCUUCCCCAGACAGCUUAUAUUCUCUUGCUUUCUUUUAGCAAGCGUUGGCUCCAACAUCACCACUCUGUCUUACCCUCAGCAGGGGUGCAUUCUUAGCUGCCAGCAUCUCGAGCUCCACCCAGAAACCUCUGCCACCCUCCACUCCUGGUAGGGGGCUGGGCACAAGCAUGGGUCUCAGGAGUAUAUAAGGAUCUGCACUUACCCAGAGAGCAUCCUUAUGCCCAGGGGAAGGUGACAUUAAGCAGCAAAUAAACACUACCACAGGAUGAGAGGCCACAGAAGGAAGGAAGGAAAAAGCCUUUCUCAUUCUUUUUUGAACAAGGGGCCCCACACUUUGAUUUUGUUCCAGGCAUCCCAAAUUAUGUAGCUGUGGAGUUCCGGUCGUGGUUCAGAGGAAACAAAUCUAACUAGGAACCAUGAGGUUUCGGGUUCAAUCCCUGGCCUUGCUCAGUGGGUUAAAGAUCCAGCGUUGCCAUGAGCUGUGGUGUAGGUGGAAGAUGUGGCUCAGAUCUGGCGUUGCUGUGGCUGUGGUGGAGCUGCAGCUCCAAUUCCACCCCUAGUCUGGGAAUCUCCAUAUGCCGUGAGUAUGGCCCUAAAAAGCAACAACAAAACAAACAAACAAACAAACAAAAAGCCAAAUUAUGUAGUCAGAUCUCUAUAUAUUCACUUAGGUUUCAUCCCAGGAGAAUAAAGCUCCAUGAGAACAGACACUUUUUUUGUUGACUGCUAUUCCCUAGUGGCUAGAACAGGACCCGACUGUACUAGACUCAUAAAUAUUUGCUAAUGAAUAUAUAGCAAGGCAGCUCAUGGUAUUGAAAUUAGCUGGUAUGGUUUACCAGCCAGACUGUAAGCCCUUAGAGAUCCUAACAGCCCUUACACCUAGCCUAAAAUCUGAUGUACUGCAGGUGCUCAGACGUUUGUUCAAAAAAGAAACAGCAAGGCCAGGCUGUUGGAAUGGAUGGAAUGUUGCCUGCGCUGCCCUCCUCUUAACCCAGGCUACGACAAAUGGCAGCUUUAAUUGAGCCCUCUGUCCCUCUAGAAAGGAGUGCCUCUGGCUUUACCUGAACUGAGUUCCUAAAAGGGAAUCAGAGAUAUGGUAAAACCUGGGGCAAGUGGCUUAUGUCAGGAAUUCCCCAAUCUAUCUCUGGAAACCUCUGAAGACCCCACAGUGGCAACGGUGCCCACUUAUUUAAAAAAAAAAAAAAAAGUGAAGAAUAGAAUUAAGUGUCAAUAAUACUAAGCUCACAAUUACCAGUUAGCAGUGUCACGUUUGUUUUCGUUUUGGUUUUGCUUGUAUAAAAACAAAGUUUAUUGCCUUCUACUUUUAUAGUUUUCCUUUCCAAUUUUCAUUUUUGAAAAAUCAAAGUAUAGUUGGAGUACCCAUCAUGGCGCAGCGGAAACGAAUCUGACAAGGAUCCAUGAGGAUGUAGGUUCAAUCCCUGCUCACUCAGUGGGUUAAGGAUCCAGCGUUGUUGUGAGCUGUGGUGUAGGUCACAGACGUGGCUCAGAUCCCCCGUUGCUCUGGGCUGGGGUGUAGGCUUGCAGCUACGGCUCCAAUUUGACCCCUAGCCUGGGAACCUCUAUAUGCCAUGGGUGCGGCCCUAAAAAGACAAAAAAAAAAAAAA